This 316-nucleotide unclassified non-coding RNA is filed under the name Hevea brasiliensis (rubber tree). The record is from RNAcentral. Lineage: Eukaryota; Viridiplantae; Streptophyta; Magnoliopsida; Malpighiales; Euphorbiaceae.
GACUAACUCAACUAGAUUAGGAUUGAGGCUGAGUUCUGUUGUAUGGGGUUUACUAUUGAUUGUUCCUUGCUAACAGUUAUACAUACCGACUUCUUUCUUAAUAGGGUAGGCAUGGCAUGGUGAUCUUGCAUUUAAUAAUGCAUGAUAAAUGAUAAUGUGCACUCAAAUUUGGAUCGUGUAGCAUAUUUGUUCCUUCCAUAUUAAUAGAUGCAGCUUUUACCUACCUGUUUAUGUGUGGGAAAUAUUUUGGUUUUACGCAGCCAAUGUUAAUUGAAAGUUCCUUGCUUCCAUAUGCAGAUGGUUGGUUGCUGAAAUA